This 415-nucleotide ribosomal RNA is filed under the name bacterium enrichment culture clone ALO1_GLFRUDD03F68HR. RNAcentral's name for it is "bacterial SSU rRNA". It matches the Rfam family "Bacterial small subunit ribosomal RNA", at positions 9 to 429 of the family's 1533-position model. The record is from RNAcentral.
GAGUUUGAUCUUGGCUCAGAUUGAACGCUGGCGGCAUGCCUUACACAUGCAAGUCGAACGGUGACAGGUCUUUGGAUGCUGACGAGUGGCGAACGGGUGAGUAAUACAUCGGAACGUGCCCGAUCGUGGGGGAUAACGAAGCGAAAGCUUUGCUAAUACCGCAUAAGAUCUACGGAUGAAAGCAGGGGACCGCAAGGCCUUGCGCGAACGGAGCGGCCGAUGGCAGAUUAGGUAGUUGGUGGGAUAAAAGCUUACCAAGCCGACGAUCUGUAGCUGGUCUGAGAGGACGACCAGCCACACUGGGACUGAGACACGGCCCAGACUCCUACGGGAGGCAGCAGUGGGGAAUUUUGGACAAUGGGCGAAAGCCUGAUCCAGCCAUGCCGCGUGCAGGAUGAAGGCCUUCGGUUGUAAC